AUGGCAGCUGAGCCACUGACAGAACUGGAGGCGGCCAUGAGACAGUGGUCACCACCUUCUUCACUUUUGCAGCACGGGAGGGCCGGAAGGGCAGCCUCAGCUUCAACGAGUUUAAGGAGCUGGUCACUCAGCAGUUGCCUCAUCUGCUCAAGGAUGUGGGCAGUCUAGAUGAGAAGAUGAAGAGCUUAGAUGUGAAUCAGGACUCCGAACUCAAGUUCAAUGAGUACUGGAGACUGAUGAGGGAGCUGGCUAAGGAAAUCAAGAAGGAGAAAGCCCUGGAGAUCCGGAAGAAGUAAAGCCUGCUGGCUGG
Molecule: RNA transcript, 310 nt
Organism: Carlito syrichta (Philippine tarsier)
Lineage: Eukaryota; Metazoa; Chordata; Mammalia; Primates; Tarsiidae
Gene name: protein S100-A13 pseudogene
Exons: 1
Source: RefSeq, a predicted model, not a curated record